This 468-nucleotide ribosomal RNA is filed under the name uncultured bacterium. RNAcentral's name for it is "partial 16S ribosomal RNA". It matches the Rfam family "Bacterial small subunit ribosomal RNA", at positions 28 to 507 of the family's 1533-position model. The record is from RNAcentral.
GACGAACGCUGGCGGCGUGCUUAACACAUGCAAGUCGAACGGAAAGGCCCUGCGUUUGUGGGGUGCUCGAUUGGCGAACGGGUGAGUAACACGUGAGUAACCUGCCCUUGUCUUUGGGAUAACUUCAGGAAACUGGGGCUAAUACCGGAUAGGAUCUCCUGCUGCAUGGUGGGGGUUGGAAAGUUUCGGCGGUUGGGGAUGGACUCGCGGCUUAUCAGCUUGUUGGUGGGGUAGUGGCUUACCAAGGCUUUGAAGGGUAGGCGGCCUGAGAGGGUGGCCAGCGACAUGACGACUGAGAUACGGCGCAGACGGCUACGGGAGGCAGCAGGGGGGAAUCUUGCACAGUGGGCGGGAGCCAGAGACAACAACGCCGCGUGCGGGAUGACGGGCUACGGGUUGUGAACCGCUUUCGCCUGUGACGAAGCGGGAGUGACGGUAAUGGGUAAAGAAGCACCGGCUAACUACGUG